GACGAACGCUGGCGGCGUGCCUAAUACAUGCAAGUUGAGCGCUGAAGGUUGGUACUUGUACCAACUGGAUGAGCAGCGAACGGGUGAGUAACGCGUGGGGAAUCUGCCUUUGAGCGGGGGACAACAUUUGGAAACGAAUGCUAAUACCGCAUAAAAACUUUAAACACAAGUUUUAAGUUUGAAAGAUGCAAUUGCAUCACUCAAAGAUGAUCCCGCGUUGUAUUAGCUAGUUGGUGAGGUAAAGGCUCACCAAGGCGAUGAUACAUAGCCGACCUGAGAGGGUGAUCGGCCACAUUGGGACUGAGACACGGCCCAAACUCCUGCGGGAGGCAGCAGUAGGGAAUCUUCGGCAAUGGACGAAAGUCUGACCGAGCAACGCCGCGUGAGUGAAGAAGGUUGUCGGAUCGUAAAACUCUGUUGGUAGAGAAGAACGUUGGUGAGAGUGGAAAGCUCAUCAAGUGACGGUAACUACCCAGAAAGGGACGGCUAACUACGUG
Molecule: ribosomal RNA, 497 nt
Filed under: uncultured bacterium
Lineage: Bacteria
Description: partial 16S ribosomal RNA
Rfam family: Bacterial small subunit ribosomal RNA
Source: RNAcentral